UGGGGAAUUUUCCGCAAUGGGCGAAAGCCUGACGGAGCAAGACCGCGUGGGGGAAGAAGGCUCUUGGGUUGUAAACCCCUUUUCUCUGGGAAGAAAGUUGUGAAAGCAACCUGACGGUACCAGAGGAAUCAGCAUCGGCUAACUCCGUGCCAGCAGCCGCGGUAAGACGGAGGAUGCAAGCGUUAUCCGGAAUGAUUGGGCGUAAAGCGUCCGCAGGUGGCAGUUCAAGUCUGCUGUCAAAGACCGGGGCUUAACUUCGGAAAGGCAGUGGAAACUGAACAGCUAGAGUAUGGUAGGGGCAGAGGGAAUUCCUGGUGUAGCGGUGAAAUGCGUAGAGAUCAGGAAGAACAUCGGUGGCGAAGGCGCUCUGCUGGACCAUAACUGACACUCAGGGACGAAAGCUAGGGGAGCGAAUGGGAUUAGAUACCCCAGUAGUCCUAGCCGUAAACGAUGGAUACUAGGUGUUGUCUGUAUCGACCC
RNAcentral lists this ribosomal RNA (480 nucleotides) under uncultured cyanobacterium. Its description in RNAcentral is "bacterial SSU rRNA". It matches the Rfam family "Bacterial small subunit ribosomal RNA", at positions 355 to 838 of the family's 1533-position model. The record is from RNAcentral. Lineage: Bacteria; Bacillati; Cyanobacteriota.